RNAcentral lists this ribosomal RNA (2902 nucleotides) under Klebsiella pneumoniae. Its description in RNAcentral is "23S ribosomal RNA". It matches the Rfam family "Bacterial large subunit ribosomal RNA". Lineage: Bacteria; Pseudomonadati; Pseudomonadota; Gammaproteobacteria; Enterobacterales; Enterobacteriaceae. The record is from RNAcentral. RNAcentral also lists the same sequence under 1 other name.
GGUUAAGCGACUAAGCGUACACGGUGGAUGCCCUGGCAGUCAGAGGCGAUGAAGGACGUGCUAAUCUGCGAAAAGCGUCGGUAAGGUGAUAUGAACCGUUAUAACCGGCGAUGUCCGAAUGGGGAAACCCAGUGUGAUUCGUCACACUAUCGUUAACUGAAUACAUAGGUUAACGAGGCGAACCGGGGGAACUGAAACAUCUAAGUACCCCGAGGAAAAGAAAUCAACCGAGAUUCCCCCAGUAGCGGCGAGCGAACGGGGAGCAGCCCAGAGUCUGAAUCAGCUUGUGUGUUAGUGGAACGGUCUGGAAAGUCCGACGGUACAGGGUGAUAGUCCCGUACACCAAAAUGCACAGGCUGUGAACUCGAAGAGUAGGGCGGGACACGUGGUAUCCUGUCUGAAUAUGGGGGGACCAUCCUCCAAGGCUAAAUACUCCUGACUGACCGAUAGUGAACCAGUACCGUGAGGGAAAGGCGAAAAGAACCCCGGCGAGGGGAGUGAAAAAGAACCUGAAACCGUGUACGUACAAGCAGUGGGAGCACCUUCGGGUGUGACUGCGUACCUUUUGUAUAAUGGGUCAGCGACUUAUAUUCUGUAGCAAGGUUAACCGUAUAGGGGAGCCGCAGGGAAACCGAGUCUUAACUGGGCGUUAAGUUGCAGGGUAUAGACCCGAAACCCGGUGAUCUAGCCAUGGGCAGGUUGAAGGUUGGGUAACACUAACUGGAGGACCGAACCGACUAAUGUUGAAAAAUUAGCGGAUGACUUGUGGCUGGGGGUGAAAGGCCAAUCAAACCGGGAGAUAGCUGGUUCUCCCCGAAAGCUAUUUAGGUAGCGCCUCGUGAACUCAUCUUCGGGGGUAGAGCACUGUUUCGGCUAGGGGGUCAUCCCGACUUACCAACCCGAUGCAAACUACGAAUACCGAAGAAUGUUAUCACGGGAGACACACGGCGGGUGCUAACGUCCGUCGUGAAGAGGGAAACAACCCAGACCGCCAGCUAAGGUCCCAAAGUCAUGGUUAAGUGGGAAACGAUGUGGGAAGGCACAGACAGCCAGGAUGUUGGCUUAGAAGCAGCCAUCAUUUAAAGAAAGCGUAAUAGCUCACUGGUCGAGUCGGCCUGCGCGGAAGAUGUAACGGGGCUAAACCAUGCACCGAAGCUGCGGCAGCGACACUAUGUGUUGUUGGGUAGGGGAGCGUUCUGUAAGCCUGCGAAGGUGUGCUGUGAGGCAUGCUGGAGGUAUCAGAAGUGCGAAUGCUGACAUAAGUAACGAUAAAGCGGGUGAAAAGCCCGCUCGCCGGAAGACCAAGGGUUCCUGUCCAACGUUAAUCGGGGCAGGGUGAGUCGACCCCUAAGGCGAGGCCGAAAGGCGUAGUCGAUGGGAAACAGGUUAAUAUUCCUGUACUUGGUGUUACUGCGAAGGGGGGACGGAGAAGGCUAUGUUAGCCGGGCGACGGUUGUCCCGGUUUAAGCAUGUAGGCUGGUUAUCCAGGCAAAUCCGGAUAAUCAAGGCUGAGGUGUGAUGACGAGGCACUACGGUGCUGAAGUAACAAAUGCCCUGCUUCCAGGAAAAGCCUCUAAGCAUCAGGUAACAUCAAAUCGUACCCCAAACCGACACAGGUGGUCAGGUAGAGAAUACCAAGGCGCUUGAGAGAACUCGGGUGAAGGAACUAGGCAAAAUGGUGCCGUAACUUCGGGAGAAGGCACGCUGGUGUGUAGGUGAAGUCCCUGCGGAUGGAGCUGAGACCAGUCGAAGAUACCAGCUGGCUGCAACUGUUUAUUAAAAACACAGCACUGUGCAAACACGAAAGUGGACGUAUACGGUGUGACGCCUGCCCGGUGCCGGAAGGUUAAUUGAUGGGGUUAUCCGUAAGGAGAAGCUCUUGAUCGAAGCCCCGGUAAACGGCGGCCGUAACUAUAACGGUCCUAAGGUAGCGAAAUUCCUUGUCGGGUAAGUUCCGACCUGCACGAAUGGCGUAAUGAUGGCCAGGCUGUCUCCACCCGAGACUCAGUGAAAUUGAACUCGCUGUGAAGAUGCAGUGUACCCGCGGCAAGACGGAAAGACCCCGUGAACCUUUACUAUAGCUUGACACUGAACAUUGAGCCUUGAUGUGUAGGAUAGGUGGGAGGCUUUGAAGCGUGGACGCCAGUCUGCGUGGAGCCAACCUUGAAAUACCACCCUUUAAUGUUUGAUGUUCUAACGUUGGCCCCUGACCGGGGUUGCGGACAGUGUCUGGUGGGUAGUUUGACUGGGGCGGUCUCCUCCCAAAGCGUAACGGAGGAGCACGAAGGUUAGCUAAUCCUGGUCGGACAUCAGGAGGUUAGUGCAAUGGCAUAAGCUAGCUUGACUGCGAGCGUGACGGCGCGAGCAGGUGCGAAAGCAGGUCAUAGUGAUCCGGUGGUUCUGAAUGGAAGGGCCAUCGCUCAACGGAUAAAAGGUACUCCGGGGAUAACAGGCUGAUACCGCCCAAGAGUUCAUAUCGACGGCGGUGUUUGGCACCUCGAUGUCGGCUCAUCACAUCCUGGGGCUGAAGUAGGUCCCAAGGGUAUGGCUGUUCGCCAUUUAAAGUGGUACGCGAGCUGGGUUUAGAACGUCGUGAGACAGUUCGGUCCCUAUCUGCCGUGGGCGCUGGAGAAUUGAGGGGGGCUGCUCCUAGUACGAGAGGACCGGAGUGGACGCAUCACUGGUGUUCGGGUUGUCAUGCCAAUGGCACUGCCCGGUAGCUAAAUGCGGAAGAGAUAAGUGCUGAAAGCAUCUAAGCACGAAACUUGCCCCGAGAUGAGUUCUCCCUGAGACUUUAAGUCUCCUGAAGGAACGUUAAAGACGAUGACGUUGAUAGGCCGGGUGUGUAAGCGCAGCGAUGCGUUGAGCUAACCGGUACUAAUGAACCGUGAGGCUUAACCUU